This 497-nucleotide ribosomal RNA is filed under the name uncultured bacterium. Its description in RNAcentral is "bacterial SSU rRNA". It matches the Rfam family "Bacterial small subunit ribosomal RNA", at positions 8 to 522 of the family's 1533-position model. The record is from RNAcentral.
AGAGUUUGAUCCUGGCUCAGGACGAACGCUGGCGGCGUGCCUAACACAUGCAAGUCGAACGGACUAUUUGGAUUCGUCUGAAUAGUUAGUGGCGGACGGGUGAGUAACGCGUGAGCAACCUGCCUUUCGGAGGGGGACAACAGCUGGAAACGGCUGCUAAUACCGCAUAACGUACAUUGGGGACAUCCCCGAUGUACCAAAGAUUUAUCGCCGAAAGAUGGGCUCGCGUCUGAUUAGCUAGUUGGUGAGGUAACGGCUCACCAAGGCUGCGAUCAGUAGCCGGACUGAGAGGUUGAACGGCCACAUUGGGACUGAGAUACGGCCCAGACUCCUACGGGAGGCAGCAGUGGGGAAUAUUGCGCAAUGGGGGAAACCCUGACGCAGCAACGCCGCGUGAGUGAUGAAGGUCUUCGGAUUGUAAAACUCUGUCUUCAGGGACGAUAAUGACGGUACCUGAGGAGGAAGCCACGGCUAACUACGUGCCAGCAGCCGCGGUA